This 22-nucleotide ribosomal RNA is filed under the name Symbiodinium sp. C79. Its description in RNAcentral is "partial 28S ribosomal RNA". The record is from RNAcentral. Lineage: Eukaryota; Dinophyceae; Suessiales; Symbiodiniaceae.
UAGCAUGAGGUCAGACAAGUGA